Papaver somniferum (opium poppy) is the source of this 888-nucleotide long non-coding RNA. RefSeq lists it as uncharacterized. The transcript has 3 exons. Lineage: Eukaryota; Viridiplantae; Streptophyta; Magnoliopsida; Ranunculales; Papaveraceae. The record is from RefSeq and is a predicted model, not a curated record.
UUGUUUUAUACAGUAACAUAAAUCGAAAAUCAAAUCAGAUUUUCUCUUUACUCUCUCUUCUCUCUACUCUCCGGCGACAACAGAAAAUCAAUCAGAUCUGAAACUGUUUCUUCACAAAAUUUUUGCAUUGAAGAACAAGAAACAGGUGCAUUAAGUUUUACUUCGGUGUAUUGAAGUUGAGAGGAAGAAUAACGCAUUCGUUAUUUCUCAAUUCGUUGAAAUUGAUUCAAUAGUUUUCAGAUCUGACGAGAGGAAGACAAUGUAUUGAAGAAUAAAAAAUAUCGUGAGAAGAGGAAUAAGACGGGUUUGGAAAAUAAAGAAAUCAACAUAGGUUUUCGUGGCUUCUGUGAGUGGCAUUAUCGUUGUCCGCUACCUUUCAGAUUUCAUUACCACUCGUGUUGAUGUUGAAACUACACUUGGUGAAUUUAAGGUUGAAGUUCGCAGGCAAUGGAAGCAAUGUGCUACACUUAGUAUUUGUUUCUUUUUCGGGGAAGGUGGGAAAGAUCUUCCGGUUGACUGUGAUUAUUGGCUUCAAGAUCUUACAUCGCUCACACCUAGUAAAACCAAGACUACUUUUGAUAUUUUCUUGUGUUACUCAUGUAGCCUCCUCAUCUAGCUCUAAGGAAGAUUCUUCUAUUUCUAAUGGUUCUAGUACGUCGUCGAGAAACAAUCAUUCAGUUGGAAUGUAUUUGGAAGAUAAGAGCAAGCCCGCAAAAUCUUUGUUAUCGGAUGGUUGGCCUAAGCUCCUUUGUCAGCCUAGUCAUGUGUUUGUUGAAGGAGGCAAGGAAGUCAGGUUUGCUUGCACCAACUAUCAUCUUCGCACUGGUUUCAACAUGAUUGUAACAUAGAAUGAACGUUCUAGGUUCACGGGUAAGUGUGUAGUAAAAA